AUUCGACAUAAGGGUUGACUUCUACUAAAACCGUAGGUACCUAACUAGUGUAAGGUCAUCUUAUAAAUAUAGCUCAGUUUUUUCUUUAAUGUAAAUAGGGGAUACAAUGUGGUGUAAUACACUAUCAGCUCCUGCAGAAUGGCCGAGUAAUGUUACUAAGGUUGGAUCGCCGCCAAAUGCAGAAAUAUUCUCUUUUAUCCACAACAAUGCCAUGUACUGGUCAAGAAGAGCUAAAUUUCCUCGGGCAAAUGCACUCUUUAGAUUAAAAAAAGACAGAACACCAAGCCUGUAGGCGAUUGUAACUACUACGACGCCUUCUGCAGCCAAUUCCUGACAAGGCAGGUUCAAACUUCCCCCGUUCCAUGAGUCACUGUAUAAUAUUACAAGUACUGGCUGAAGUUGACCAUCUGCUCGCUACCUGGAAACUAACUAAUACUUACAGCUUGCUAUUACAAAUAACUUUCGUAAACGCGCCAAUGAUUUGUUCCUUAAUACCUAGCUAAUAAGAGAUGUAAUGUGCUGUAGAUUUUAUGAAAUAAAUAAAUAAAAUUGAUUCCUUUA
Molecule: long non-coding RNA, 561 nt
Organism: Leptidea sinapis
Lineage: Eukaryota; Metazoa; Arthropoda; Insecta; Lepidoptera; Pieridae
Exons: 2
Source: RefSeq, a predicted model, not a curated record